ACAGUAACAGUGGGUUCCUCCUCCUGGUUUGUAUUCUUUCUUCCUGGAGGGAAGAGAAGUGAGAAAUUUGGGAGCUGGGAGUGGAAGGACAGACGGGAGGAAGGUCUGGAGUCUUAGCCCUAGGAAAAAUAUUCAGAGUGAUAGAGGUGGUUCUCAACUUACGACCACAAUUGAGCCCAAACUUUCUGUUGUUAAGUGAGACAUUUGUUAAGUCUGACGAGGCACAGAAACAUGGUGAGCAGCAGGGAGGCAUGGAGUCACAUCUUCAUUUCCAGGGGUUUCGAUAGGUGUUCGUGCCGCUGUAAGGAGCCCCAGGAACCAAGAUGUGAUGUCCAUUCAUGAUCUGUGGAGGUAUGUGUUCUGAAGCCCCCAAGAAGGCAGCUACACUAAAGCCCUCUCUCCCCGGGAGGCCAGACG
Molecule: non-coding RNA, 417 nt
Organism: Pantherophis guttatus
Lineage: Eukaryota; Metazoa; Chordata; Lepidosauria; Squamata; Colubridae
Source: RefSeq, a predicted model, not a curated record